RNAcentral lists this ribosomal RNA (521 nucleotides) under Salmonella enterica subsp. enterica serovar Cannstatt. RNAcentral's name for it is "partial 23S ribosomal RNA". It matches the Rfam family "Bacterial large subunit ribosomal RNA", at positions 711 to 1230 of the family's 2925-position model. The record is from RNAcentral. Lineage: Bacteria; Pseudomonadati; Pseudomonadota; Gammaproteobacteria; Enterobacterales; Enterobacteriaceae.
AGACCCGAAACCCGGUGAUCUAGCCAUGGGCAGGUUGAAGGUUGGGUAACACUAACUGGAGGACCGAACCGACUAAUGUUGAAAAAUUAGCGGAUGACCUGUGGCUGGGGGUGAAAGGCCAAUCAAACCGGGAGAUAGCUGGUUCUCCCCGAAAGCUAUUUAGGUAGCGCCUCGUGAACUCAUCUCCGGGGGUAGAGCACUGUUUCGGCUAGGGGGCCAUCCCGGCUUACCAACCCGAUGCAAACUGCGAAUACCGGAGAAUGUUAUCACGGGAGACACACGGCGGGUGCUAACGUCCGUCGUGAAGAGGGAAACAACCCAGACCGCCAGCUAAGGUCCCAAAGUCAUGGUUAAGUGGGAAACGAUGUGGGAAGGCCCAGACAGCCAGGAUGUUGGCUUAGAAGCAGCCAUCAUUUAAAGAAAGCGUAAUAGCUCACUGGUCGAGUCGGCCUGCGCGGAAGAUGUAACGGGGCUAAACCAUGCACCGAAGCUGCGGCAGCGACACUGUGUGUUGUUGGGUA